CUUUAACGGAGAGUUUGAUCCUGGCUCAGGACGAACGCUGGCGGCGUGCCUAAUACAUGCAAGUCGAGCGGAUUGAUGGGAGCUUGCUCCCUGAUAUCAGCGGCGGACGGGUGAGUAACACGUGGGCAACCUGCCUGUAAGACUGGGAUAACUUCGGGAAACCGGAGCUAAUACCGGAUAAUCCUUUUCCUCUCAUGAGGAAAAGCUGAAAGACGGUUUCGGCUGUCACUUACAGAUGGGCCCGCGGCGCAUUAGC
Molecule: ribosomal RNA, 256 nt
Filed under: Bacillus sp. cl95
Lineage: Bacteria; Bacillati; Bacillota; Bacilli; Caryophanales; Bacillaceae
Description: partial 16S rRNA. Bacterial SSU
Rfam family: Bacterial small subunit ribosomal RNA
Source: RNAcentral